GGAAGGAUCAUUAACACGUGAUACUUCACGUAUUAACCAAACGCGAACUGUUCUUAUGUCCUACCGCCGAUGUGACUGUUAGAAGUGAGGGAAGGUCGUGAGGCUGUCGUUUCGGCGAUGGUCUCUAACUCAUGGACAUACGGUCCCCCAUUGUACGCAGUGGCCGAUCGAGGUCAUGUUGGCGGUAGCAGAUGAAUUUCGGCUGUGGGCUUACUGCCUGGCUCUCAGUCGAAGUGACGCACCUUAUUAACCCCUUUUUUUAAUUUGGACUAAUUCUAGACUUUCUCUCGAAUUCCUGGGCAACCGGUUGAGUUUGAUCGAGGAUGUCGCACACACUAAUACGAAACAACUCUUAGCAACGGAUAUCUUGGUUCUCGUAACGAUGAAGAGCGCAGCGAAAUGCGAUACGUAAUGCGAAUUGCAGAAUUCAGUGAAUCAUCAAAUUCUUGAACGCAACUGGCGCCUUCAGGUUUACCUGGAGGCACGUUUCUCUCAGUGUCGGUUUAACUAUCUCCUUAAGCUGGGUUGAAAGACUCGGUGACGAGGGAAAAUGAGCGCUAUGAUGUCACAAUCGUAUCGCUUGAAAUUCAAUGAGUUGGUGUUACUUGGUUGGUGUUCGCCUCACGGUGGAUGCCGCCAUUGACAACUUAGUGAUGUGAGUAAUUCGUCUUCGGAUGAUACUUAACAUCAAUACUAACUGUCAGUGGUUCACUGAGUGGAUGCUAGCGAAACCUGUAGCAAAGUGGGGCACUCAACCGCCCUUCUUUCUCAAACAUUUGACCUGAGAUGAAGCGAGGCUACCCCCGGAAUUUAAGCAUAUUAUUACGGGGAGGAAAAGAAACUAACAAGGAUUCCCCUAGUAACGGCGAGUGAAGCGGGAAGAGCUCAAGUUUAAAAUCGGUGUGCUUUCGUACACCGAGUUGUAGUCUCGAGACAUGCUGUCUGCGGUGACGUCGGUACAAGUACCUUGGAAGAGGUUAUCAGAGAGGGUGACAAUCCCGUCGCUGACCGACAGAUCGCCGCUUUCGACGUAUGUUCACAGAGUCGGAUUGCUUGGGAGUGCAGUCCUAAUUGGGUGGUAAAUUUCAUCUAAAGCUAAAUAUUGACGAGAGACCGAUAGCGAACAAGUACCGUGAGGGAAAGAUGAAAAGAACUUUGAAAAGAGAGUCAAAAAGUACUUGAACUUGUUAAGAGGGAAGAGCUGAAAACUAGUAUCGCUCGUGGUUAGUUUCCCGCUCUGGGCUAAACAGGUGCGUACUGUGUGGUCAAACCACAGUGCGUAUUUGAAUGGUCUAGGGUGGUUCCUCUGGCUGCGAGUAGGUCAGCAUCAUUUCGAACUGUGGGAGAAAGCUGAGUGGAAGGUAGGGUCUUCGGACCUGUUAUAGACAUUCAGCCAUACCAUGGUUUGGAUUGAGGAUGUAUCGGCGCUCCGUUUUACGGAGUCUCGACUUAGCUCCUCAUGCUUACUGUGUGUGGGAAAACAAUGUUUUGCUAUGUGCGGUGGGUGUGACUGGGUUGGGAAGGGACUGCGCUGACGCGAUGCUGACGAAAUGGUUUUCAACUACCCGUCUUGAAACACGGACCAAGGAGUCUAACAUAUAUGCGAGUAUUUGGGUGGAAAACCCUGGUGCGUAAUGAAAGUAAAGGACAGCUUGCUGUCUGAGGUAGGAAUCCCGCAAGGGAGGCACUAUCGACCGAUCGUCACUUGUGAAAGAUUUGAGUAAGAGCAUAUCUGUUGGGACCCGAAAGAUGGUGAUCUAUGCCUGAACAGGGUGAAGCCAGGGGAAACUCUGGUGGAGGCUCGUAGCGAUACUGACGUGCAAAUCGUUCGUCUGAUUUGGGUAUAGGGGCGAAAGACUAAUCGAACUAUCUAGUAGCUGGUUCCCUC
RNAcentral lists this unclassified non-coding RNA (1888 nucleotides) under uncultured fungus. Its description in RNAcentral is "sequence contains 18S rRNA gene, ITS1, 5.8S rRNA gene, ITS2, 28S rRNA gene". The stretch from base 778 to 1888 matches the Rfam family "Eukaryotic large subunit ribosomal RNA", at positions 1 to 961 of the family's 3401-position model. Lineage: Eukaryota; Fungi. The record is from RNAcentral.